This is a long non-coding RNA of Astyanax mexicanus (Mexican tetra), 3923 nucleotides long. RefSeq lists it as uncharacterized. Lineage: Eukaryota; Metazoa; Chordata; Actinopteri; Characiformes; Acestrorhamphidae. The transcript is spliced from 5 exons. The record is from RefSeq and is a predicted model, not a curated record.
AGAGAUAAUAAGGGGCACUGUCAAUCAAACUUUUUGACAGGUGACCUUUUGACCUUUGCUAGGUGCCCUUUGACCCCUCCCCCACAGCACAUGCCUCCUUUUCUGGAAUGUGACCUUUGACCCCUCAGAUCACCCUAUGAUGCUGUCAGUUAUUAAUUAUGUUUUCAAUCAUCUGUAAUUACUUUUGACCUUUGCCAUGUGCCCUUUGACCCCUCCCCACACCCCGUGCCUCCUUUUCUGGAAUGUGACAUUUGACCCCUCAGAUCACCCUAUGAUGCUGUCAGUUAUUAAUUAUGUUUUCAAUCAUCUGUAAUUACCAUUGACCCCUCAGAUCCCCUGACCCUUGAACUCUCUUAAUUAUUUUUCUGAUAUCAAUGACUACGAGUCUCCGGUAAUUAUGUUUUCAAUCAUCUGUAAUUACCCCUGCCAUUCGUCAUUCAUGUUUUGGAUAUGAGGUAAUUUAAACCAUGGUGACACACCGCCCCGCCCAUCCCUCCGCCCUUCCUGCCCCAUCCCCACCUCUUCCCGUCCCGCCCAGCCCCGCCCCCAUCAUUAUUCAGAUUGUCCUGAUUGGUCAAACAAAAAUUCCCGCCAAAAGUAUUGACCAAUAAGGUUGUUAUUCCUAUGGAGCAAUCACAGCAAGCCUGCGAGUGAAAUGUGUAUUUAAGAGUUAGCGAGAUGUGUGAAGGACCGAGAGAACGGAGCAAUGGCUUGUGUUUCUGAGGUUGCUGAAAACCAAAGCUUCCCAUACCGGGAUUCGAACCCGGACCGUCUGGAUGAAAGCCAGAAAUCCUACGCGUUAGACCAUAUGGGAGGAUCUGUAGAAGAAGAGCACGAUGACGAGAAUCUAAAAAGGUACCGAACAAUGGAGAGCAUUCCUGAACCAAUCGCUCAAGGAGCGCUCAAGACUCAAGUCUGGCGUUUGUCAGAUGGAACUUACUUCGGAUAUGUUUUUCUUAAGGAUAUAUAUAGCGUUGCUAUGUACGUCGGAAAAACGGAUAGAUACGAUGAUGCCUCAGCUCGUUUUACUUUGAACCAUAUAGAAUGGUUUAGCUUCAGAAGACACUGCUCUGUUUUUAAUGCCUACGUCAAUUACAGAAAUACAGAAUGCAGCCCAUUUUUUUCAGGAGAACAUGAAUUUAAUUUGGAAACCUCUGAAUACAGGAAAGUCUAGGCGUUUUAAUCUCGCGCCGGUUAUGACAAGCCUCGGAUGUAAUGUAAGCCUCAGUGUCAUUCAAGAUUUAAAAUGCUAUGCAAUUGAAAAUGACCUGCACUCGUGCGAUUUCCAGGUUGUUUUUAAUUCAGAAGACUUUAAAAGAAUGAAUCGUGUCUACUUCGCAAUAAUUGACAGUCUGUUCUAUAUGAACAAAUAGAUUUUCUGAUUAUUGUCAAACAUACAAAACCAACAUUAAUUAUAUUCUUAAACAUUAAACUUUUAUAUUACAUUUUAAUACUUUUUUAGCCUAUACUUUUCUAUACUUUAGCUAAAUUACCUCUCUUUCAAGUGAGUUGAGAUGCUUACCCCACUCCUUGAGUCUAAAGAGAGGUAAGUGGUUGCUGGUGGAGUUAAGGGGCGGGAGGGUGGCGGUUUCCUGAGAGUAAGAUAUGAAUUAGUUAGAUCAAUCAGUGUAUUGAUGGGUAAAGGAACUAGUGAGCUAGCCCAUUGUUUGAUUCUCACAUGUUGCUUCAUGUGCAACUGGCUAAAAGGGAUUCCAGACUCCCAACAGAGUAUAGACUAUUGAUGAUUCAACAGCCGGGGGUAAAUGCAGUAAACCAUUUACCCAGGAUUGGUUUACAAUCCUCAGUCUAUUGUUUUUUAAUGAAUGUUCUGAUCAGAUCAGCAAAAUUUAAAACAGAGCAGUGUCUUUUGAUGUUUUGAAUCCUUUGUUAAAAAAAAAAAAAAAUGAAACACACACACACACACAAACUCACACACACCACACACCUCCCACUCUUUUCUGUGAUGUCAUAACCUGAGGUCAUCAAUCAAAAUCACUGUAUAAAAAACCCGUUGGUAAUCCACAAUUUACAUUCUGGAGACAACACAGACGCUUGAAGACCUCAAACACUUUGACGCUCCUUGAUUUCAACCGCAAUAUGGACUUUGGUGAGAGAAAAAACUUUUAAUAUGAAAUUAUCACAAUAUAUUACUUUUAUUAAAAUUACCUUUAAGUAGUUAAAUGACUGUUUCUUAUGGUUUAAUAGGAAUUUAAUAGGAAUCACUCAUCUUUCAGCUUAAUUAAUGUGAGUAGUUAACAUUGUUCUAUGUAUCCUAUGCAAAAUCAAAUGUAAGUGAUAUUUAAGACUACUUUUCUACGUAAUAUAUGAAAUAUGUAGUAUAUACAUUCAUCUUUUAUUUUAUUUUAGGAUCAGAAUGUUUCAUUGUUGAAACUGUGACAGACUGUGAUGCUGUGACAGACGAAAGUGUGCUAUAUCAUCCAUUUCAAACUUUUCAUCCGGAACCUAGUAACUACGGAUUAACCAUUCACGGUGAGUGAAACUUAAUGAAAUAUGUAAUAUAUGUAAAUAUUUAAUUUAAAAUAUUCUAACUCAUGUGAUUUCUGUUCAUUAGAAAACAGUUACAGCCCAUCAGCGUCUGACAAUCUACAAUUUGAUGAUGUUAAUUCUGUGACAAGUCAACAAUCAAAUGAUUACCGACCAACUACACCUAGAAACAGUCCGGGAUUGUCUGACAAUCUACAAUUUGAUGAUGUUAAUUCUGAUCUCCAACAACAAGAAGAAUGCGAACUGGACGACCUGUACGACUUUCGAUAUCUGAAAAGGGCCGUGGAGAUUUCGCUACGGAGGCUGGAACGUGCAGCUGCAAGCAGAUCACGGGAGGAUUAUAGGUCGGCUAUACCUUUGUUUACAGAACGUGUAAUGCUCUUGGUUAGACAUUGUGUUGAUGAUAUAGAUAAUAAUGUCGCAGAAACGCCCCGGUUGUGAUUCUUUGUUAAAUAAGAAUAAAGCUAAAAAAAUCCAACAACUCGCCUUAUUCAAAUGAAACAAACAAUAACCCACAUUCAUUAAUCAGUGAACCAAGUACCUCAAACCUACAAACAAAUCAUGUAGAACACAACACAGCUCUGAACCCUUUUCUGUUAGAAAUGGUUAAUGAGAUUAAUGGUAGUAAUGAAAGGUUGACUUCUAAUAAUGAACACAGCUCUGAAAUUGUAUCUAAUCUAGAAAAUACAUCAGAAACACCAUACAAUUUGUUUUCGGGAUUAAGCGAAUGCUUAACCAACAUACAAAAUGCAUUAAUAGAACACAACCCAACUCUGAACCCUUUUCUGUUAGAAAUGGUAAAUGAGAUUAAUGAGGUUAACGAAAGAUUGGGGUCUAUUGAUGAACACAGGGAUCAUGAAUUAGCUUCUAAUCUUGAAAAUAUGUCAGAAAAUCUAUCCAUCAUUCAAACCGCUCUAACGCAGCACAACACAUGCACAGCUCUGAACCCUUUUCUAAUGGAAAUGAUAAAUGAGAUGAAUGAAAGCAUGACAGAACCACAACCUUGUGUCGCCACUGUACCAUCCCCUAUAAAUGAUUCGUUUGAAACAUCUCAGGAAUUAUUACAACAACUAAACCAGAGUCUCUUGAGAUUAAAUGAAAUUCUUGCAAACAUGGGUCAGGAUUCACACAUUUUACCAAGUAGUCCUGUUAACGAGAAUGUUUCAAAUAGCCCUUCUCCAUCUACUGAUGAAAUGGAGGAUAUCCAUACACCCAACAGCUGUAAUGAGCAACAGCCGGAAAUACAUCAGAUGCCUAGUGUGAGUGAGGGAGAGCAAAUGGGAUUUGGGAGAGAUGAUCAACCCGGACAUGUUUUAGAUCCAAACAUAGUUAUAAAUCGUAUAGACAACUUCAAUACAACAGAAAUUAGACGGAGGAUAAACUUUUCCUCAUUAGGAAACGUUGAUUCAUUUGGGGAU